AUUGAACGCUGGCGGCAGGCCUAACACAUGCAAGUCGAACGGUAACAGGAAGAUGCUUGCUUCUUUGCUGACGAGUGGCGGACGGGAGAGUCAUGCCUGGGAAACUUCCUGAUGGAGGGGGAUAACUACUGGAAACGGUACCCAAUACCGCAUAACGUCGCAAGACCAAAGUGGGGGACCUUCGGGCUUCUUGCCAUCGGAUGUGCCCAGUCGGGAUGAGCUAGUAGGUGGGGUAACGGCUCACCGUGGCGACGCACCCUAGCUGGUCUGAACGGAUGACCCGCCACACUGGAAGUGAGACACGGUCCAGACACCGGCGGGAGGCAGCAGUGGGGAAUAUUGCACGAUGGGCGAGAGCCGGAUGCAGGCAUGCGGGGGGUAGGAAGAAGGCGUUCGGGUUGGAAAGUGCUUACAGCGGUGAGGAAGUGAGGAACGUUAAUACCUGAGCACAUUGACGUUACCGGAAGAAGAAGCACCGGCUAACUCCGUG
This 490-nucleotide ribosomal RNA is filed under the name uncultured bacterium. RNAcentral's name for it is "partial 16S ribosomal RNA". It matches the Rfam family "Bacterial small subunit ribosomal RNA", at positions 29 to 507 of the family's 1533-position model. The record is from RNAcentral.